GAAGAAAUACUGGAGAGAGGUGAUUAGACAUGACAUGGAGCAGCUUCAGUUUACAAAGGACAUAACCCUAGAUAAGAAGGUGUGGAGGGCGCGGAUAAGGGUAGAAGGCUACUGUAAGUGUGGGGGUUGUAGCGAGCAGUCAGGAGAGAUCUUGUGUAGCCGGGUUAGUAAUCCUAGGGUUGUGUAAAUAGGUGUAUUUGGUAUGUGAGUGUAUGUUACUACUAGGUGGGUGCCCUAUUUCUUAUUUCUUAGUUCCUAUUUUCUUAUUUCGUGUUGCCCUUAUUUCUCGUAUUUCGUAUUUCUUUGAUUUCUAUUUUAUUAUUUCUUAUUCCUUAUUUCUGUUAUGUCAUCCAUCCCCU
RNAcentral lists this long non-coding RNA (359 nucleotides) under Capsicum annuum. RNAcentral's name for it is "long non-coding RNA (CANN_LNC019300)". Lineage: Eukaryota; Viridiplantae; Streptophyta; Magnoliopsida; Solanales; Solanaceae. The record is from RNAcentral.